Pelodiscus sinensis (Chinese soft-shelled turtle) is the source of this 1303-nucleotide non-coding RNA. NCBI's taxonomy places the organism in Eukaryota, Metazoa, Chordata, Testudines, Trionychidae. The record is from RefSeq and is a predicted model, not a curated record.
GGAUUCCCCUUCCCUGACGAGGACCGGGGGAGCCCGGUCGCUAGGCACCCGGGGAUGGGAGCGCGCGCUGUGAUCCGGGGCCGGUUCCCCGUCGCUUGGGAGGCCCUUUCCUCCCCGCCCCGUGGCUGGGGUCCCCGCGAAGCCCAGGGCCGUGACCGUUCAGGGUGGAGCAAGAGCGGCUUCCCAGAGAAACCGCGUCAGCUCUUCGGGGAGGCAGCGUGUGGCGGGCUCUGCUGCGCGCCCCGCUCCCUGCUGCUGCCGGCGGCGUCGGGGCCGAGGGGAGCCCCGCGCACGCUGGGGUCUGACGGGGGGUGACAGCGGAAAUGGAGCUAUUCAUGUACACGAAGUUAAUCAACGGGCGCGCUGCCUGGCUCCCCGCUCGAGGCUGACCCAUCACCUCGAGUAGGCGUGCGAGGGGACGGUAGGGAAGGGGGAGAAUAAUCUCUUCAGCUGACCAAGGAGCUAGGGAUGCAGGGCGGGGACAUGGCCGUGGCCCCGGCAGGUCGUCGACUCAAAGCUAAGCCAGGAGCGAGACCUGCCUGGUGUCCCCGAACUUGGCCUUGUUUCGUGAGCACAACGAACGCGUGUCCGGUCCAGGCUCGUUUGGAAACCAACAAUGGAGACUCGAAAGGGCACGUAGCGGAGGGUCAGAGUGCUAGCAGACUGUAAGCACGCUUAAUGGGGGCCCUGGAGUAUUCUCGGAAGCACCAUACUGGUUGAUGCGCUUUACAAUCCUUGGUCAGGAUCCCCAAGUUGCAAAAUAACAGGGGUCACAGGAACAAGAUAAACAAUAAAAGCACUUCAGUCCUGGAUAACAGAAAUAAUUUCAGCCUAGAAGCUGGGACUUGCUAGUGACAAUAUGAGGUAAAUUUUCAAAGCAGUAAGAAAUAGUUAUUUUCACAAUAUUUUUUUUUCAAAACAGGACUUUGAGUGUCAAAUUUUUGCACUGCUUUGACGUGCUCUGAUAUCUUCAUUUAAAAUAUAAUGUCUCAUAUUAGGCAACAAGACCUGACAGGAUGUUAACUGUGGGUGGAAUAAUUCACAGUUUGUACAUUAGAGUAGGAGGCCACAGGCUGACUUCUGUCUGUGCAACUCGGCAUGAAUUAUUAUAACAUACUUCAAUCCCUACAGUCCCUCCUUAGGUAAAAUAAACAUACUCCACCAUCAAAAGAAGUAAUUACAGCCGGUCCCCGAGUUACAAACGAGUUAUGGACCAAACACUUGGCCGUAACUCGAAGUAUUCAUAACUCAGAUCCCAUUGAGUUACAUGGCGACUGCGCUGUUCGUAAGCACGGACUGCGUU